ACUCAAAGGAAUUGACGGGGACUUGCACAAGCGGUGGAUAAUGUGGCUUAAUUCGUCGGUAAACGAAGAACCUUACCAAGAUUAGAAAUCCAGCUGCAUCUCAUCCGAAAGGAAGAGAGCCUUCGAGGGUGCUGGACAGGUGAUGCAUGGUUGUCGUCAGUUCGUGGUUUGAACUGUUCCCUUCAGUGGGGUAACGAACGCAACCCCCGUUGCCUGUUAUAUAUGUCAGGCGAGACUGCUCCCUCACGGGAGAGGAAGGUGGGGAUGACGCCAAAUCAGCAUGUCCCUCUGAUAUCUUGGGCUGCACACGUUAUACAAUGGUCGGGAACAACAGGAGGCAAUACCGCAAGGUGGAGCAAAUCCCAAAAACCGUCCUCAGUACGGAUCGAGGUCUGCAACCGACCUCGUGAAGCCGGAAUCGCUAGUAAUGGCAGGUCAGCUAUACUGCCGUGAAUACGUUCUCAAGUCUUGUACACACCGCCCGU
This 485-nucleotide ribosomal RNA is filed under the name uncultured bacterium. RNAcentral describes it as "partial 16S ribosomal RNA". It matches the Rfam family "Bacterial small subunit ribosomal RNA", at positions 899 to 1397 of the family's 1533-position model. The record is from RNAcentral.